GACGAACGCUGGCGGCGUGCUUAACACAUGCAAGUCGAACGGAGCGAAAUGGAAGCUUGCUUCUAUGGAGCUUAGUGGCGAACGGGUGAGUAACGCGUAAUCAACCUGCCCUUCAGAGGGGGACAACAGUUGGAAACGACUGCUAAUACCGCAUAAGCCCACGACCCGGCAUCGGGUUGAGGGAAAAGGAGCAAUCCGCUUUGAGAUGGCCUCGCGUCCGAUUAGCUGGUUGGUGAGGUAACGGCCCACCAAGGCGACGAUCGGUAGCCGGACUGAGAGGUUGAACGGCCACGUUGGGACUGAGACACGGCCCAG
This 315-nucleotide ribosomal RNA is filed under the name uncultured bacterium. Its description in RNAcentral is "bacterial SSU rRNA". It matches the Rfam family "Bacterial small subunit ribosomal RNA", at positions 28 to 334 of the family's 1533-position model. The record is from RNAcentral.